CCGGCCUACUUGGGGCUCCGAGCCGCUGCCGCAUACAUUAGCGCCGCCGGCCGCACCGCCGUCACCUUCAGCGCU
Bos grunniens (domestic yak) is the source of this 75-nucleotide microRNA precursor. The record is from Ensembl. Lineage: Eukaryota; Metazoa; Chordata; Mammalia; Artiodactyla; Bovidae.